Molecule: ribosomal RNA, 470 nt
Filed under: uncultured organism
Description: partial 16S ribosomal RNA
Rfam family: Bacterial small subunit ribosomal RNA
Source: RNAcentral
ACUCCUGCGGGAGGCAGCAGUGGGGAAUUUUGGACAAUGGGCGAAAGCCUGAUCCAGCAAUGCCGCGUGUGUGAAGAAGGCCUUCGGGUUGUAAAGCACUUUUGUCCGGAAAGAAAUCCUUGGCUCUAAUACAGUCGGGGGAUGACGGUACCGGAAGAAUAAGCACCGGCUAACUACGUGCCAGCAGCCGCGGUAAUACGUAGGGUGCGAGCGUUAAUCGGAAUUACUGGGCGUAAAGCGUGCGCAGGCGGUUUGCUAAGACCGAUGUGAAAUCCCCGGGCUCAACCUGGGAACUGCAUUGGUGACUGGCAGGCUAGAGUAUGGCAGAGGGGGGUAGAAUUCCACGUGUAGCAGUGAAAUGCGUAGAGAGGUGGAGGAAUACCGAUGGCGAAGGCAGCCCCCUGGGCCAAUACUGACGCUCAUGCACGAAAGCGUGGGGAGCAAACAGGAUUAGAUACCCCAGUAGUCCC